GUGCAGCAGGCGCGAAACCUCCACAAUUUGCGCAAGCAUGAUGGGGCCACUCCGAGUGCCAUCCGCUGAGGAUGGCUUUUCUUCAGUGUAAGGAGCUGGAGGAAUAAGGGGAGGGCAAGACUGGUGUCAGCCGCCGCGGUAAUACCAGCUCCCCGAGUGGUGGGGACGAUUAUUUGGCCUAAAGCGUCCGUAACCGGCCCAGUAAGUCUUCGGUUAAAUCCGGUGAUUUAAUCAUCGGACUGCUGGAGAUACUGCUAGGCUAGGGGGCGGGAGAAGCCGACGGUAGUCUAGGGGUAGGGGUGAAAUCCUAUAAUCCCUAGAGGACCACCAGUGGCGAAGGCGGUCGGCUAGAACGCGCCCGACGGUGAGGGACGAAAGCUGGGGGAGCGAACCGGAUUAGAUAUGAAGUUGAGUUUUUGCCAGCUUCACUAGAUACCCCGGUAGUCC
This 447-nucleotide ribosomal RNA is filed under the name uncultured archaeon. RNAcentral describes it as "partial 16S ribosomal RNA". It matches the Rfam family "Archaeal small subunit ribosomal RNA", at positions 330 to 747 of the family's 1478-position model. The record is from RNAcentral.